UACGGGGUGCAGCAGGCGCGAAAACUUUACAAUGCGGGAAACCGUGAUAAGGGGACACCGAGUGCUAGCAUCAUAUGCUGGCUGUCCAGGUGUGUAAAAUACAUCCGUUAGCAAGGGCCGGGCAAGACCGGUGCCAGCCGCCGCGGUAACACCGGCGGCCCGAGUGGUGAUCGUGAUUAUUGGGUCUAAAGGGUCCGUAGCCGGUUUGGUCAGUCCUCCGGGAAAUCUGAUAGCUCAACUAUUAGGCUUUCGGGGGAUACUGCCAGACUUGGAACCGGGAGAGGUGAGAGGUACUUCAGGGGUAGGGGUGAAAUCUUGUAAUCCUUGAAGGACCACCAGUGGCGAAGGCGUCUCACCAGAACGGACCUGACGGCAAGGGACGAAAGCUAGGGGCACGAACCGGAUUAGAUACCCGGGUAGUCCUAGCCGUAAACGAUACUCGCUAGGUGUCGGCCACGGUGCGACCGUUGUCGGUGCCGUAGGGAAGCCGUGAAGCGAGCCACCUGGGAAGUACGGCCGCAAGGCUGAAACUUAAAGGAAUUGGCGGGGGAGCACCACAACGGGUGGAGCUUGCGGUUUAAUUGGAUUCAACGCCGGAAAUCUUA
Molecule: ribosomal RNA, 605 nt
Filed under: uncultured archaeon
Lineage: Archaea
Description: bacterial SSU rRNA
Rfam family: Archaeal small subunit ribosomal RNA
Source: RNAcentral